This 245-nucleotide long non-coding RNA is filed under the name Nicotiana benthamiana. RNAcentral's name for it is "long non-coding RNA (NBEN_LNC012922)". The record is from RNAcentral. Lineage: Eukaryota; Viridiplantae; Streptophyta; Magnoliopsida; Solanales; Solanaceae.
UCCACCUCUAGCUUGAAUUUUUAUGGGCCCACAAACAUCUGUAUGAAUUAGUCCCAAUAAUUCAGAAGCUCUUUCUCCACUUCCAGUAAAUGGAAAUUUGCUCAUUUUCCUUUGAGACAAGAUUCACAAGUUGGAUAUGAUUCAAAAUCAUAUUGUUAAGGUACCCUUCCUUGUACAACUUGUUAAUUCUUUUCUCUCCAAUAUGACCAAGCCUACAAUGCCAAAGGUAUGUUUGAUUUACAUGA